RNAcentral lists this ribosomal RNA (468 nucleotides) under uncultured bacterium. RNAcentral's name for it is "partial 16S ribosomal RNA". It matches the Rfam family "Bacterial small subunit ribosomal RNA", at positions 28 to 507 of the family's 1533-position model. The record is from RNAcentral.
GACGAACGCUGGCGGCGUGCUUAACACAUGCCAGUCGAACGGAAAGGCCCUGCUUUUGUGGGGUUCUCGAGUGGCGAACGGGUGAGUAACACGUGAGUAACCUGCCCUUGACUUUGGGAUAACUUCAGGAAACUGGGGCUCAUAUCGCAUAUGAUCUCCUGCUGCAUGUUGGGGGUUGGAAAGUUUCGGCGGUUGGGGAUGGACUCGCGGCUUAUCAGCUUGUUUGUGGGGUAGUGGCUUACGAGGGUUUUGACGGGUAGCCGGCCUGGGAGGGUGACCGGCGACAAUGGGACUAAGAGAGGGAGCAGAAGGCAACGGGAGGCAGCAGUGGGGAGUAUUGCAGAGCGGGCGGAAGCCUGAGGCAGAAAUGUUGGGAGCGGGAUAACGGGCUUCGGGUGGUAAACAAAUGUCGACUGAGACGAAGCGGGAGUGACGGUAAUGGGUAAAGAAGCAACGGCUAACUACGUG